Molecule: long non-coding RNA, 1126 nt
Organism: Manis javanica (Malayan pangolin)
Lineage: Eukaryota; Metazoa; Chordata; Mammalia; Pholidota; Manidae
Source: RefSeq, a predicted model, not a curated record
UGCAGCAUAGGGAAGCACCAGCUUGAGAACAACUGGUGCAGUCCUUGGAUGUUAUCUGCCCACUGAAGCAUAUCUUGUCCUCGAAAACGAGCCAGGAAGCCUCACUCUGAAAACAGGGAGACCUUGAGGAUGUGUGAAAACACUGCCCCUGCUUACUGGCAGACUAAGAAAAUCAACAAGGUGCUCUGGCCUGUCCUCCCUGAGAAGGCAAAGAUGAGUAUAGCACUUGGUUGAGGUCCGAGAAAGGCAGUAUAAAAAUAAAGGUGCUGUGCCACAUCAGGGCUGUAGCCAUUGUCUGUCUAUUUGUCUGGGUUGUCUGUUUUUUGUUCUCUCAUUUCACCUGAGAAACAGAGCGGCACGCAACAUCUGGCGCCCAACGUGGGGCACGAGUGGACGACCCCACUGUGAGGCAGGACCUCACAACCCUGAAGAAAUUGGAGAGAGGAUGCCAGGGGUGACUUGGGGCUCAGAAAGGGACCGACUUCAGGAAACCAGUGUGGUUGGCUACCUAGCAAAUGCCUGAAAUUGCGCCAUGACCAAAAAUAGUAAGGAUGAAGAUUUUCUACGAGAAUUCCAAGACCUCAAUGUCAGGGCUCAGAUCCAUACUAGGGGAUCUAGACAGGCUUCAGUCCAUACCUGGGGAUAGCUAAAGAAACUCACCCAAGAAAGCGAACGUGUUGUCCUACAAGCAGGCCAAACGUUGGCACCUUUGUCUCUCUUUUUGGUGAUGAUGGCCAUUGUCACAUGUCAGUCUACUGCUGGUAGAAACGAAGAAAACAAACCAUGAAGCAAAACACUCAAGUUAUGUCUGUCUUACGACACGUUCAAUCUCAGCCAUGAAAUAUUUAAGGAAAGGAGGAGAUGAUGGGGACAGCCUUUGUCUUCUCACAUAUCUGAACACAGAAUGGGAAAGCACCUUCCCUCACUUCUGAAUGCAGCAUAGGGAAGCACCAGCUUGAGAACAACUGGUGCAGUCCUUGGAUGUUAUCUGCCCACUGAAGCAUAUCUUGUCCUCGAAAACGAGCCAGGAAGCCUCACUCUGAAAACAGGGAGACCUUGAGGAUGUGUGAAAACACUGCCCCUGCUUACUGGCAGACUAAGAAAAUCAACAAGGUGCUCUGGCCUG